This 469-nucleotide ribosomal RNA is filed under the name uncultured bacterium. RNAcentral describes it as "SSU rRNA". It matches the Rfam family "Bacterial small subunit ribosomal RNA", at positions 26 to 518 of the family's 1533-position model. The record is from RNAcentral.
AGGACGAACGCUGGCGGCGCGCCUAACACAUGCAAGUCGAGCGAUAACCAGGGCUUGCCCUGGGGACAGCGGCGAACGGGUGCGUAACACGUGAGCAACCUGCCCCAAAGACCGGGACAACCCGAGGAAACUCGGACUAAUACCGGAUGCCCUCACCGGGCCGCAUGGUCUGGUGAGGAAAUGGAUUCCGCUUUGGGAUGGGCUCGCGGUCUAUCAGCUUGUUGGUGGGGUAACGGCCUACCAAGGCGACGACGGAUAGCUGGUCUGAGAGGACGAUCAGCCACACUGGGACUGAGACACGGCCCAGACUCCUACGGGAGGCAGCAGUGGGGAAUCUUGCGCAAUGGGGGAAACCCUGACGCAGCGACGCCGCGUGCGGGAUGAAGGCCUUCGGGUGUAACCGCUUUCAGCAGGGACGAAUUGACGGUACCUGCAGAAGAAGGCCGGCCAACUACGUGCCAGCAGCCGC